UUCUUCUUCUAUUACAUCACAUCAGAGUGCUGGACAAAAGUUUACGGAACACGCUACGGAGUAUAUCUUCCUCAGCGUGACAUGCCAGCAGCAAAUGGCACCUAUAGACUUGCAAACAGAUGAUUGGGUUACCUAGGCACAUGUCUGUAAGUUCAUGCAGCCCCGUUAGCUGCCUGCGUGUCACUCUGAGGAAGGCGCCGGAGCGUGUUCCAUAAACUUUUGUGUAGCACUGUACUAGCAUCAAUAAAUUUUCCACCCCGUAUGAUUCAAACCAUUCAUUUUCCUAGCACUAUUUUUGUUUGGCAUACGAAAUGGUUAAUUAGCAAAAAUAUUUGGCAUAUGAUAGCAUCAUAUAUCGCCAAUCUCAUUGCCUAUAUUUAUGUUGCAAAUUAUUUCACAGCAGAAGUAAUUUAUCUCUUUGCUCAUCUGGUGAGGGAGAUCAAUUUGACCUGUUCACUUGUCGGUGUCGCUUAAGACAAAAAUGAUCUAUAUCUGACAAAAAUGCUCAAGAAAAACCCAUUCAAGUUCCAGUCCUGCUGUAUCACGGUGAAGGGACGUGCCUGUCCAGUAAAUGACCGCAUUGAAACAUCACGAAGACUUCAACCUGAAGUAUGUUGCAUUGGUUAGGGAACGCUUUAGGUGCUGUUAAUCACUUUAGAUCCUAACUGUUUGUUUGUGUUGUUUCUAGGCAUAUGAUUAUGUUCCAUGUACAUAGCGUGUAAUGUGCAUUGUAAUGUUCAAUUUCUGCUCUGUAUCAGAGGCACAAUAAAUGUAUGUUUUUUAAACAUACUGUUUUACAACA
Ornithodoros turicata is the source of this 802-nucleotide long non-coding RNA. RefSeq lists it as uncharacterized. Lineage: Eukaryota; Metazoa; Arthropoda; Arachnida; Ixodida; Argasidae. The record is from RefSeq and is a predicted model, not a curated record. The transcript is spliced from 2 exons.